GACGAACGCUGGCGGCGUGCUUAACACAUGCAAGUCGAACGGAAAGGCCCUGCUUUUGUGGGGUGCUCGAGUGGCGAACGGGUGAGUAACACGUGAGUAACCUGCCCUUGACUUUGGGAUAACUUCAGGAAACUGGGGCUAAUACCGGAUAGGAGCUCCUGCUGCAUGGUGGGGGUUGGAAAGUUUCGGCGGUUGGGGAUGGACUCGCGGCUUAUCAGCUUGUUGGUGGGGUAGUGGCUUACCAAGGCUUUGACGGGUAGCCGGCCUGAGAGGGUGACCGGCCACAUUGGGACUGAGAUACGGCCCAGACUCCUACGGGAGGCAGCAGUGGGGAAUAUUACACAAUGGGCGGAAGCCUGAUGCAGCAACGCCGCAGGCGGGAUAACGGCCUUCGGGUUGUAAACCGCUUUCGCCUGUGACGAAGCGUGAGUGACGGUAAUGGGUAAAGAAGCACCGGCUAACUACGUG
RNAcentral lists this ribosomal RNA (468 nucleotides) under uncultured bacterium. RNAcentral's name for it is "partial 16S ribosomal RNA". It matches the Rfam family "Bacterial small subunit ribosomal RNA", at positions 28 to 507 of the family's 1533-position model. The record is from RNAcentral.